RNAcentral lists this ribosomal RNA (893 nucleotides) under uncultured archaeon. RNAcentral describes it as "bacterial SSU rRNA". It matches the Rfam family "Archaeal small subunit ribosomal RNA", at positions 21 to 919 of the family's 1478-position model. The record is from RNAcentral.
ACCUGACUGCUAUCGGAUUGGUACUAAGCCAUGUGAGUCAUUGUAGCAAUACAAGGCAUACGGCUCAGUAACACGUAGUCAAUCUGCCCUAUGGACGUGGAUAACCUCGGGAAACUGAGAAUAAUCCGCGAUAGAUCAUAAUGCCUGGAACGGUUUAUGGUCCAAAUGAUUCGUCGCCAUAGGAUGGGACUGCGGCCUAUCAGCUUGUUGGUGAGGUAAUGGCCCACCAAGGCUAUUACAGGUACGGGCUCUGAGAGGAGAAGCCCGGAGAUGGGUACUGAGACACGGACCCAGGCCCUAUGGGGCGCAGCAGGCGAGAAACCUUUGCAAUGUGCGCAAGCACGACAAGGUUAAUCCGAGUGUUUCCUGCUAAAGGAAUCUUUUGUUAGUUCUAAAACCACUGAUGAAUAAGGGGUGGGCAAGUUCUGGUGUCAGCCGCCGCGGUAAAACCAGCACCUCAAGUGGUCAGGAGGAUUAUUGGGCCUAAAGCAUCCGUAGCCGGUUCUGUAAGUUUCCGGUUAAAUCCACUAGCUCAACUAAUGGGCUGCCGGAAAUACUGCAGAACUAGGGAGUGGGAGAGGUAGACGGUACUCGGGAGGAAGGGGUAAAAUCCUUUGAUCUCUUGAUGACCACCUGUGGCGAAGGCGGUCUACCAGAACACGUUCGACGGUGAGGGAUGAAAGCUGGGGGAGCAAACCGGAUUAGAUACCCGGGUAGUCCCAGCUGUAAACGAUGCAGACUCGGCGAUGCACUGGCUUUUGGCCAGUGCAGUGCCGCAGGGAAGCCGUUAAGUUUGCCGCCUGGGAAGUACGUACGCNAGUAUGAAACUUAAANGGAAUUGGCGGGGGAGCACCACAAGGGGUGAAGCCUGCGGUUCAAUUGGAGUCANCGCC